CAGUCGCCACGGUAAUACAGAGGGUGCGAGCGUUAAUCGGAUUUACUGGGCGUAAAGCGUGCGUAGGCGGCUUUUUAAGUCGGAUGUGAAAUCCCUGAGCUUAACUUAGGAAUUGCAUUCGAUACUGGGAAGCUAGAGUAUGGGAGAGGAUGGUAGAAUUCCAGGUGUAGCGGUGAAAUGCGUAGAGAUCUGGAGGAAUACCGAUGGCGAAGGCAGCCAUCUGGCCUAAUACUGACGCUAAGGUACGAAAGCAUGGGGAGCAAACAGGAUUAGAGACCCGCGUAGUCCCUGUCUCUUAUAC
RNAcentral lists this ribosomal RNA (301 nucleotides) under uncultured bacterium. RNAcentral's name for it is "partial 16S ribosomal RNA". It matches the Rfam family "Bacterial small subunit ribosomal RNA", at positions 509 to 807 of the family's 1533-position model. The record is from RNAcentral.